This is a long non-coding RNA of Sciurus carolinensis (gray squirrel), 897 nucleotides long. RefSeq lists it as uncharacterized. The transcript is spliced from 7 exons. Lineage: Eukaryota; Metazoa; Chordata; Mammalia; Rodentia; Sciuridae. The record is from RefSeq and is a predicted model, not a curated record.
CAGGCCCCGCCCAGGAAGGCUGAUCUGAUUAUUCAUGAGCCCGCGGGCGGCGGUUUGGGCUGCAAGAGGCCGCGGAGUCGGUUGAAAUGGAGGUUUCACCACUGAGGGAAGAGUUUUUCCAUCUCAAAUCACUAAUGAGCAUGAAAAUAAUGUGGGUCUGAAGCUCCUGUUGGUGGCGAAUGAAUGAAGCAGAGAGUCACGCUCCAGGCUUCCCCCGGCCCCCGGCCCCCGGCUCUGGGGCAGCCCAGAGGCAGCGGUGGAGGGGGCUGAAGAGGCGACGGGCACCCGCCCGAGCUGAGCGCCGCCUUCGCCACGCGCAGCCUCACAUUCCCGGUGCCCGCUGCUGCCUCCUGACACCUGCAUCACCACCUGCCUCCACCGGGUCCUGCUCCCGCUGGGCAGAGCAAUGCCAGCCUUGGAGGCCUGAAGCCACCGCCCCCUCUGCCUCCACCCGCCUGCGUGCAGAGCGGAGGGCGCUCUUCUCCAAUCAGCAGCACAGGCGCCAGGUCCUCUACUCACUCAUUUUGUUUCUUGUGCCCUGAAAAAGAUCUCAGUAUAAAACUUUUUCAAGAAGAAAAAAUGUCCUGAGUUACUGCUUAUUAUCAAGUGUGCAUUGCUCUUCAUGUCUGCUUUGAUACUGUGAGAAACAUGCUUACCUGUUCAAACCCAAGGAAUGGACUAAGAGACACAAGAAAGAGCAAAAAGCAAGGAUUUACUUUAAUGACGAUCUUGCAAGAUCCAGUGCCUGGUACCCAGUUAGGGUACAAUCAACGUUUUAUCCCGUAAAGUGCAAAGUCCUUCCCAAAUUCCUAAUUGGCUGAGUACUAUGGGGUGCAUAAUCUUCCCCUAUGUCACCUAGGUUUUAUUGUUUUCUAUUGGGUUAUUUAAGGAAAUAUA